Molecule: ribosomal RNA, 253 nt
Filed under: uncultured bacterium
Lineage: Bacteria
Description: partial 16S ribosomal RNA
Rfam family: Bacterial small subunit ribosomal RNA
Source: RNAcentral
GACGUAGGGACCGAGCGUUGUCCGGAGUUACUGGGCGUAAAGCGCGCGCAGGCGGAUCAUCGCAUCAUCGGUGAAAGCCCCCCGCUCAACGGGGGAGGGUCCGGUGAGAUGGGUGAUCUGGAGGCAGGGAGAGGCGAGUGGAAUUCCGGGUGUAGUGGUGAAAUGCGUAGAGAUCCGGAGGAACACCAGUGGCGAAGGCGGCUCGCUGGACCUGACCUGACGCUGAGGCGCGAAGGCGUGGGGAGCGAACGGG